CAGCAGCCGCGGGAAUACGUAGGUGGCGAGCGUUGUCCGGAAUUAUUGGGCGUAAAGGGAGCGCAGGCGGACAUAUAAGUCCAUCUUAAAAGUGCGGGGCUCAACCCCGUGAGGGGAUGGAAACUGUAUGCCUUGAGUGCAGGAGAGGAAAGCGGAAUUCCCAGUGUAGCGGUGAAAUGCGUAGAUAUUGGGAGGAACACCAGUGGCGAAGGCGGCUUUCUGGUCUGUAACUGACGCUGAGGAGCGAGAGCGUGGGGAGCGAACAGGAUUAGAUACCCCCGUAGUCCCUGUCUCUUAUACA
Molecule: ribosomal RNA, 301 nt
Filed under: uncultured bacterium
Lineage: Bacteria
Description: partial 16S ribosomal RNA
Rfam family: Bacterial small subunit ribosomal RNA
Source: RNAcentral